AGAACGAACGCUGGCGGCAGGCUUAACACAUGCAAGUCGAACGCUCGUAGCAAUACGGGAGUGGCGGACGGGUGCGUAACGCGUGGGAACAUGCCCUUUGGUUCGGAAUAACCCAGGGAAACUUGGGCUAAUGCCGGAUACGUCCGAUGGCUUUGCGGUCAUUGGAGAAAGAUUUAUCGCCGAAGGAUUGGCCCGCGUCCGAUUAGCUAGUUGGUGAGGUAACGGCUCACCAAGGCGACGAUCGGUAGCUGGUCUGAGAGGAUGAUCAGCCACACUGGGACUGAGACACGGCCCAGACUCCUACGGGAGGCAGCAGUGGGGAAUAUUGGACAAUGGGCGCAAGCCUGAUCCAGCCAUGCCGCGUGAGUGAUGAAGGCCCUAGGGUUGUAAAGCUCUUCGUCAGGGACGAUAAUGACGGUACCUGAAGAAGAAGCCCCGGCUAACUUCGCGCCAGCAGCCGC
Molecule: ribosomal RNA, 461 nt
Filed under: uncultured bacterium
Lineage: Bacteria
Description: SSU rRNA
Rfam family: Bacterial small subunit ribosomal RNA
Source: RNAcentral